This is a non-coding RNA of Zootermopsis nevadensis, 2992 nucleotides long. The record is from RefSeq and is a predicted model, not a curated record. Lineage: Eukaryota; Metazoa; Arthropoda; Insecta; Blattodea; Termopsidae.
UCCAUUUCUUAAUCAAGUAAUGUGACUAUUUUUCAGGGGAAGCCACAACUUGAUGUCAGCUGUGCAUCUCCAUCAUGGACUGGGUCAUCGCUCUGUGAUCAUGGUGGGGGCUGGUGCAGAGGGAGGGGAACAACUCUUGGAGGAAGUGGAUGAAGGCCUCAUUGAAGAAGAGGAUGAGUUGGGUGUAGCUGAGUUGAGUGAGGAUGUACUGCUACAAGAUGAUGAGGAAGAAGAGGAAGAUGGUGAAGAUAGAAGCUGGCGACGAUAGCAGUCGUGAUCAGUCUGUAUGUCUCGAAAUUCACGGCCCAGAGGGCUUGCUUGCAGUGUAAUUAUUCGAGUGUAAUGCACAGUGUGUAGGAACAUGUGCGUUAGUAUGUAUAUACAUAUUUUGUAACUUUUAUAAAUAUUAGAUAUUUCCUUUGGUUCCAAAUGUGAAUUUCAAUUAUUUUAACCCUUCCCAAGCAAUUUUUCUUGUGUCUGUAAGUGGAAUAUUUUUUUCUGUAAACUAAAUUUUAUUAUGCGUGGAAGUCUUCAGAGUAACUAAAACUAUAAUAUAAGUUUUGAAACUGAAACUGAGUUUCACCAUAUGUUAGCUCCAUUUACCAACUAAAGACUGUCCUGUAACUUGAUGCAAAGUUUUUAAUGUAAAUUUCUAAUUGGAUAAAUGACGCACGUCUCACUGAAUUUGUUGCGCUUCUUUAUGAGCCAUCACAGUUAUUUCGGGUUUCACGCACAUGGAAACAUGUUUUGCGAUUAUAACGUCAGUGACGUUUUCCAUUGCCAGCACUAACUCUGGAAAACAACUUCUGUGUGAUACAUUACAAAGUACUUGGUCUGGGUUUGAAAAUGGCUUUUUCUGCAUGUCUUUGCUCUGUGAAUGGAGAGUACUGAGCUAGAGUUUCGGGCAUAUCUUUUGUAGAUGGUAUUGCUUUUUUCUGUUACGUUAUUGGUACCUAUUAACUUGUGCUCUAGGUUUUGGCUGUGUGUAAUACUUGUUGGUGUAGACAAAUUAUCCAGAAGAUGGGUUGGUAGUGUCUUUCAUGAGAACAGUGCACAGCUGUUAUUGCUUGCAUAGUUCUCAACAUCAGGGUUCUCAUGUACUGUUUUAACAGUAUAUGUAUCUGUUAGAUACCACAGACAUUCUUAGCCCAAAGUUAUAAGAUUAUAAGUUUUAGAGGAUGCUGUCCUUUCAUUUACUGUUAAAUAGAAGUGGGAAAGUAAUUAACCCUUCAGUGACAGCAACCAUUUAUGUGGUGUUCAACCCUGUGGACAGAGGAAAUUUAACCCGAUGUACCUGGUUUGUGCCAAGGUCAGAGGCUAUCGUCAUGUGACGAGCAGGUUCAUAUCGUGCGCAGAGGGUUAAGGAUGCAUUUUGACCUGUUUUUGUGAAAUACAGGAUUUAUUGAUCUUGUUCCUCAGUGUGUGCAAAAUGUUUGUUCCAAAAUAAACUGAAAUUUAUCUGUGACAAGACAUCUGAAAAUAAUUGCAUUUUGUUUACCUUUGUUUGAGAGAAGUAAUCAGCAUGGGAUGUAGGACCACGGCUUCAACUCCAGACACUGCCUUGAGGGUUGAAGAUGCUCUCUCAGUAGGGGAACAUAUUUCAUACUUUCGUCUUGUUGCCAUUCAGUAUGGUUUCCUGUAGAUUGAGGUCCAACAAAUUCAAGUGAAAGACAAAAUUAAAAUAUUUAGCAGGCUCAUUUGUCCAAUAAAAAAUUGAUGGUACAGCUGCAUCUUUUUCAAUAUUUUGCAUUUUGGUACUUUUGCUUGGUUCAAGCCACUUACUUACCAUUGUGUAUGGUUUUUCUGUCUGUUGUGCUGUUCUAGCUCUGCGUAGCACUGGCAUCACUUAUCUCAUAAUAACUGUCAGUGGAAUGAAAGUCUAAAAUUAUUUAAUGGUAAUAUCUGAAACAGACACUAUUUCUUCAUCGUGCACUGUCCCCCUUUCAAUGUUUGAUAUGCAAAAAGAUUGAAAAAAACAACCACUAAACAAAUUGUCUAAGUGACUUGGCACAUACGUGAAGAACUGUCUCCCACACUCGCAUAUACCUAAAUCCUGUCAUUUGAAUCUGUAGUAUCACAGAUGUCACCAACAUUUGCCUUGACAUCUUUUAAUGUCAUGGCAGAGACAGCAGUAAAUACAGACUUUGUAUAAACUUUGGGUAUGUCCAUAUUCUGCAUAUGAAGUACUGGUUGACCUCAGAUGUAUCUGGUUUUCACUUGGGAAGGGUUAACGUUAAUUUGAUUCUGUUCAUACAACUAAAUGCAUUUCUAUUGGCAUAGACUAUAUGACAAACAUUGUAAUUUUGAGUGAGAACAAAACUUCUGUAACAAAACUGCUUUCAUGUACUGCAAGAAAAUUGUAAUGUUGUCAUUACUAGUAUAGUUUUAAUGGUUUUGUUUUAAAGUCAGUGGCGUAACUUUGGCACGUCAAUCACCAGUGAAAUAAAUGCUCUGACUUUCAAACAUUGGAAUUUCAUUUUCCAUACUAAUAAAUGUAUGUGCACUGAUUAAUGUACAACAUUGACAAUGUCUUUGUGUUAUAUUAAGUCAUAGAUAAUUGUACUUGAUUUUAUUGUAACAUAUAUUUGUGAUUUGUUUUCUUCAAUGAAAUGUUCAGUAAUUGAUGUAAAAAUACUUCAUGCAAAAAUGUGCUUUGUAUAAUGGUUAAAGAUGAAAAGAUUGAAAAGAUAAUAGCUGAUAAAUGAAAAGUUGAAAAAGAAAAGAAGGAACACUAAAGAUUAAAAUGUUAUGAAAAAUUACAAAAAAGAGAGUGAAAAAAGAAACAGAAAACAUUAACCAAUUAAAGCACUGAAGUUUUUGUACAAUAAUAAAAGAAGUGGGAGCAAAUACUAAAAUGAAACAAAGAAAAGAUCAAAACAAAAAAAUUAUCACUUGCCCCACCAACAAAACAAUUGUUUCUUAAAAGAGCAAGAUUUUCUGCAAAAGACAUUUUAUGCUAUGUGGUAAAUAAGAUUGUGUGCCUUUCAGACAA